GCAGUAAUCGGGAACCCAGGUUUUAUACAUUACGAAGGCACGUUUCCAUUUCUCCUGGGCAAAUAUUUAGAAGAAAAGUUGCUGGGUAAUUGAAGCACUGAGACCACAGAGGCAAGAGCUGGGGAAGGAAAACUGCCCAUGAGAUGAGAUGUGCCUCUCAGCUUCCAAAAUCGGGGAGAUGCCCCCCAUGGAAUCCAGCCAUCAUGCUGUGAGGAAUCCAAGCAGCUACAUAGAAAGGCCACAACUAGAUAUUCCAGCUGUAGUCAGCUGAAGCUCCAGCCAACAGCCAACAUCAACCACCACGCGUGAAAACGAGCAAGUCUUCAGAUGAUUCCGACUCCCAACCUUCAAGCCACCUCAGCUGAAGCCAAGUAGAGCAGAGACUAGCUGUCCCCCAAUGCUCUAAUAUGCAGAUUCAUAAUUAAAAAGAAUGUUAUUGUUCUAA
RNAcentral lists this non-coding RNA (445 nucleotides) under Pan troglodytes (chimpanzee). The record is from RNAcentral. Lineage: Eukaryota; Metazoa; Chordata; Mammalia; Primates; Hominidae.